GGCUUGUCUUGGCAGAGGUAUAUUUGAUAUUGUAGUGUUGCCAUCAUUGGUUUGUUCUUUCGUUUGCUCAUACGUUAUUUCGUCGUACUCUGCAAACUCCUCUUCUGAAUUUGUUUGUUCUGCACUGAAGCUUGUAUUGGUAUAAACAUUUUGUUGUACGGUUGCCAUCUUGUUGUCUUACCAGAAGCAAUCUACAGUAGAAA
Molecule: long non-coding RNA, 203 nt
Filed under: Mytilus galloprovincialis (Mediterranean mussel)
Lineage: Eukaryota; Metazoa; Mollusca; Bivalvia; Mytilida; Mytilidae
Source: RNAcentral